Molecule: long non-coding RNA, 331 nt
Filed under: Manihot esculenta (cassava)
Lineage: Eukaryota; Viridiplantae; Streptophyta; Magnoliopsida; Malpighiales; Euphorbiaceae
Description: long non-coding RNA (MESC_LNC010276)
Source: RNAcentral
UGGAAUUGGACCAAUCUCUAUCCCUCCCCACAGGAUGGUAUCAACAGAGUUAAAAGAGUUAUAAGGAUCAGUUGUAAGAGUUGGUAGUUAAGGGUUCCCAUCUGACUGAGCACUUCGCCUUGGGUUGUUCCAGUGUUGUUAUGAGGAUGAAGGAUGGAUCCCUAGGACUUUGUGUCGACCACUAGUCGUUGAACAAAGUCACUACCCAGAACAAGUAUUUGUUACCUUGGAUCGACGAUCUAUUUUAAGCCAGCUAGCAGGAGCUGGUUGCCUUUCCAAGAUAGAUCUGAAGUCUAGGUACCAUCAGUUAAGAUCAAGGAAGAAGAUGUAC